UACGGAGGGUGCGAGCGUUAAUCGGAAUUACUGGGCGUAAAGGGUGCGUAGGUGGUUGAUUAAGUUAUCUGUAAAAUCCCUGGGCUUAACCUGGGCAGGUCAGAUGAUACUGAUUGACUCGAGUAUGGGAGAGGGUAGUGGAAUUUCCGGUGUAGCGGUGAAAUGCGUAGAGAUCGGAAGGAACACCAGUGGCGAAGGCGGCUACCUGGCCUAAUACUGACACUGAGGCACGAAAGCGUGGGGAGCAAACAGG
Molecule: ribosomal RNA, 253 nt
Filed under: uncultured bacterium
Lineage: Bacteria
Description: partial 16S ribosomal RNA
Rfam family: Bacterial small subunit ribosomal RNA
Source: RNAcentral